Protopterus annectens (West African lungfish) is the source of this 391-nucleotide non-coding RNA. Lineage: Eukaryota; Metazoa; Chordata; Ceratodontiformes; Protopteridae. The record is from the annotation of a RefSeq genome assembly.
UUCUCAGCCGACAACAAUGCCCUGGGUUUUUCUCCUAACCCUGUUUACAAACUUGUGGUCUGGUUCCAGAGCCCAGACCAGUGUAACUCAGCCUCCAUCACAGUCAGCAUCUCUUGGUGAAAAUGUUAAACUUCCCUGCACUUUAGGCUCUGGUAUUGAUUACUACUAUGUUUACUGGUACCAGCAGAAAUCUGGAAACAGUCCAAAGUACCUGUUACGGUACCACUCUGAUUCAAAGAAACACCAUGGCUCUGGGGUUCCUACUCGGUUCUAUGGCUCCAAGGAUGAAUCUAAGAGUGUUACUUACUUAUCCGUCUCUGGUGUCCAAACAGAAGAUGAUGCUGAUUACUAUUGCUGUAUCUGGGAUGAUAAGAACAAUGUAAAUGCAUAA